UACGUAGGGUGCAAGCGUUAAUCGGAAUUACCGGGCGUAAAGCGUGCGCAGGCGGCUUUGCAAGACAGAUGUGAAAUCCCCGGGCUCAACCUGGGAACUGCAUUUGUGACUGCAAGGCUGGAGUACGGCAGAGGGGGAUGGAAUUCCGCGUGUAGCAGUGAAAUGCGUAGAUAUGCGGAGGAACACCGAUGGCGAAGGCAAUCCCCUGGGCCUGUACUGACGCUCAUGCACGAAAGCGUGGGGAGCAAACAGG
This 253-nucleotide ribosomal RNA is filed under the name uncultured bacterium. Its description in RNAcentral is "partial 16S ribosomal RNA". It matches the Rfam family "Bacterial small subunit ribosomal RNA", at positions 524 to 776 of the family's 1533-position model. The record is from RNAcentral.